Zootermopsis nevadensis is the source of this 2031-nucleotide non-coding RNA. NCBI's taxonomy places the organism in Eukaryota, Metazoa, Arthropoda, Insecta, Blattodea, Termopsidae. The record is from RefSeq and is a predicted model, not a curated record.
UUAAAGUCAUGAACCAGUAUCUAAACAAUCCUGUGUAAAUGGUGCUCAAAAAUAAACAUGUUCAAACAUUACAGAUAAUAAAUAUUCAAUUAGUUACUGCACCUGCAACUAAGAGAUGAUAAAUCAACUGUAAAAGACACCAAAAUACUUUUCAAACCUGUAACACAAAACACUGCACCACCUGCUCGGUGCUACCAACAUAUCAGACAGCAAGGUCAAUGUCUCCUGUGUAUCAUCAUCCCACACCAUAUACAUUACCACUUCAGGAAGCUAACACUAAACAAUGUCAUUUUUUCUUUGUUAGUAAAAAGUAGGAUUCUAGUAAUUAGUGCAGCAUUUCCUACACUUGGCUAUUUCAUACACCAACUUAACUGUGUCAAAACCACCAUGACAGCACAUAAUGAAAUUAAAUUACUAACAUCAGACAAAUUGGCAUGUGUACAAACACACGGCAGCAUGCAAUGGUACAGCAUAUAGGUACCCUUUUCUUUCAAUAUACUGCUAAAAAUUACUGAAUGCCAGAAUCUGAUAUAAUGAUUUGCGCAAGCAGCUUGUUUUUGGGUCUAAGAGUUAAAAAAAUAUAGCUCCUUUUCAUUCUUCGGAGAGAAAGAACUGUGCAUACGUGUGUGCGCGUGCAUCAUUCUGUGCAUAUACUUCCAGCUCCCAUACUGUGCUGGUCACCAUGGUUAGAUUAGCAGGUUAUUGAACAGAAAUGUUGAAAGUGCAGAGGUUAUGAACUUUCAGACAACAAUGAUAAUCAAAUAAAGGUCAUAAAAGCUGCCUAAAUUUCCAAUACCUACCACAUUAAAUUUCUGAAUACUAUAAUGAAUGACAGUCAAAAGUCUGCAUGACUACCAUGCUGAGGUCAAAGUUAAAAGUCUUCAGAUAUAGAGUACCAUCGUGACAAUCCUACCAAGUUUAUUUAAAAUUAACAAAUUCAAGUUAGCAAGUUUUCUUGCAUAUGGACAAGUACCCUUACAUUGUACUGCCAGCAAACAUCAUCUCCAUUAUCACCCCAUCAACAACAGCAAACUGGAAACCCUCAAUGGAUGCCCCCAUCAAAGAUGUGUUUUCCUACCUUUGUCCUAGCCUGGUCAGGCAACAGUUACAACAGCUGAAAAUCAAUACGUCUUGCUGCCAAAUGCACUUAAUUAGAGAACAGACAUCAGGAGUACAGUAACUAUCCUUAACAUGUUUUAUUAAGGUUUUGAUGUCCCAGCACCAUCAGGAGUAUGUUGGACAGUUAGGAUUCCCCCAUCAUACUUCCAGUACAGUUAGCAACAGGUGUUAUCAUCAGCCCACAUAAAUAAAGUGUUGAAGUCACCGUCUCUUAAGCUGUGUGACAAGUUUCAAUCACACACAAAUGUGAAUCAGCAUAAAGAAACUCAAAGUGGUGGCUCCUCACAUCUCAUACAUUAAAGAAAGAAAAAUGUUGAGGCAAAGUAACUGUGGAGUAAAGUGAGCCCUCAUUGUCCAUCAACUAUGAAUCUGAAAUUUAUCAUAUCCAUCGGUUAGCAGCACUAGAAUGCGCUGGUGUAGUCUCUGCAUUAAUUACAGACCCCCAUAACAGAAGGAUGGGGGCAGGCUGACACACAAAAGCUUCCUGGUCAAACAAUUCUCCCCAGAGCAUCACAGUGGCUGACAGACUGAAGGUGACUACAGACUACUCUACUUGCUAGAGACAGAAAUGAUGUCCAGUACAUUAUGCUGGUUUCUGGGUGCUCUACUCCUCACUGGAGGUGUGUUGGCAAGCCUGUAUCUUUUGUGGCUUCAGACACGCCGAGGAGUGACCGGUUUCUCCCUGCUUGCAACAUCAGAUUCUCUUGCUACUGUUGCAAUAUCCAUCAUGUUUCUCCUGAAUGUAUCUAAUAGCCAUAAUGGCACAGGAAGAACUGCUAUGAUUCCCACUCAAUGCAAUCCAAGGCAACUUACAUUGGCUUCAGCACUCUUUUUGGCUCCAUUCAUCAAUGCAUUUGUCUCAAUGGUGGCCCAUUCAGCAGAAAAUUCGUACAACGUAAAGACUAUACCUAA